UGAAUGUGUUUCUAUUAUGGAGGUCACCGCCUGAGCUUCUCUUCCCUGUGAACGUCGUGGUCACUUCUGCUUGUUUUUCCUCUGAUUGUAGCAGCGGCGCCGAACGUUCUUUUCUAUUCUCCAUUGUCAUCAACAGUGGGUAUGGUGGAGCCUCUUCUGUGUUCGAUGUCCAGCUCUUCUCUUCCGUCUCUAUUCUUGUUGUGGUAUAGGGCAACUUCUCCUUCCCUGCCCUGUCAUCACUGAUUGAGUUCUGAUUGCUUUUGGAGAUGCAGAGCACUGUUUAGCUUGCUGUCCUUCUCCCUUGUUCAAGUUGUUUGUGUUGGUGUGGUGUUGGGUUGAGGUGAGAAGUUUCGAAGUUUCCUCUUGCUAGCUCUAUGUGUAUGUGCCUAAGUAGUUGAGAAAACAAUUUUUCUUACUUGGUUUGUAAGGCUACGCCUACACGUGUUUGUGAAAAAGGGGUUAUGGAACUAAGUUGAAUUUAAGUCCAAUAAAGAGGAUUUAGUUUGGACUUGAGCUGUAUUAGAAUUUAUAUUGAUUUUGUUAAAGGAAUGGAACUUGGGAAGUUGAUUUAUUCAUA
Prosopis cineraria is the source of this 577-nucleotide long non-coding RNA. RefSeq lists it as uncharacterized. The transcript is spliced from 2 exons. Lineage: Eukaryota; Viridiplantae; Streptophyta; Magnoliopsida; Fabales; Fabaceae. The record is from RefSeq and is a predicted model, not a curated record.